RNAcentral lists this ribosomal RNA (330 nucleotides) under uncultured bacterium. RNAcentral describes it as "bacterial SSU rRNA". It matches the Rfam family "Bacterial small subunit ribosomal RNA", at positions 568 to 898 of the family's 1533-position model. The record is from RNAcentral.
CGCGUAGGCGGUACUAUAAGUCAGAUGUGAAAGCCCUGGGCUUAACCUAGGAGGUGCAUUUGAUACUGUAGAACUAGAGAUCGAGAGAGGAAAGUGGAAUAACGAGUGUAGAGGUGAAAUUCGUAGAUAUUCGUUAGAACACCAGUGGCGAAGGCGACUUUCUGGCUCGAUACUGACGCUAAGGCGCGAAAGCGUGGGGAGCAAACAGGAUUAGAUACCCUGGUAGUCCACGCUGUAAACGAUGAGUGCUAGAUGUUGGUGGAGGAAUUCAUCAGUGUCGCAGCUAACGCAUUAAGCACUCCGCCUGGGGAGUACGGUCGCAAGAUUAAA